GGUUCGAAUCCUGCACGACCCACCAAUUUCAGCAUUUAACCCAGAUGCUGAACGUGAAGGAUAACGUUGCGACAGCAACGGCCCGUAGGGCGAGGCGAAGUCGAGUCAUCCUGCACGACCCACCA
RNAcentral lists this small RNA (125 nucleotides) under Klebsiella pneumoniae. Its description in RNAcentral is "partial RtT sRNA". It matches the Rfam family "RtT RNA", at positions 40 to 130 of the family's 130-position model. Rfam says of the family: This family represents a bacterial cis-regulatory element known as RtT RNA. The exact function of RtT is unknown although it is thought that it may be involved in changing the cellular response in relation to amino acid starvation. The record is from RNAcentral. Lineage: Bacteria; Pseudomonadati; Pseudomonadota; Gammaproteobacteria; Enterobacterales; Enterobacteriaceae.